CGCUGGCGGCGUGCUUAACACAUGCAAGUCGAACGGGAUCCAUCAAGCUUGCUUGGUGGUGAGAGUGGCGAACGGGUGAGUAAUGCGUGACCGACCUGCCCCAUGCACCGGAAUAGCUCCUGGAAACGGGUGGUAAUGCCGGAUGCUCCAUCACACUGCAUGGUGUGUUGGGAAAGCCUUUGCGGCAUGGGAUGGGGUCGCGUCCUAUCAGCUUGAUGGCGGGGUAACGGCCCACCAUGGCUUCGACGGGUAGCCGGCCUGAGAGGGCGACCGGCCACAUUGGGACUGAGAUACGGCCCAGACUCCUACGGGAGGCAGCAGUGGGGAAUAUUGCACAAUGGGCGCAAGCCUGAUGCAGCGACGCCGCGUGAGGGAUGGAGGCCUUCGGGUUGUAAACCUCUUUUGUUAGGGAGCAAGGCAUUUUGUGUUGAGUGUACCUUUCGAAUAAGCACCGGCUAACUACGUGCCAGCAGCCGCGG
This 479-nucleotide ribosomal RNA is filed under the name Bifidobacterium breve. RNAcentral describes it as "bacterial SSU rRNA". It matches the Rfam family "Bacterial small subunit ribosomal RNA", at positions 34 to 520 of the family's 1533-position model. The record is from RNAcentral. Lineage: Bacteria; Bacillati; Actinomycetota; Actinomycetes; Bifidobacteriales; Bifidobacteriaceae.